GCCUGGGUGGCUCAGUGGUUGAGCGUCUGCCUUUGGCUCAGUGUAUGAUCCUGGGGUCCUGGGAUCGAGUCCCAAAUCAGGCU
Molecule: transfer RNA, 83 nt
Filed under: Canis lupus familiaris (dog)
Lineage: Eukaryota; Metazoa; Chordata; Mammalia; Carnivora; Canidae
Rfam family: tRNA
About the family: Transfer RNA (tRNA) molecules are approximately 80 nucleotides in length.
Source: Rfam by way of RNAcentral